This 682-nucleotide ribosomal RNA is filed under the name Bifidobacterium pseudolongum subsp. pseudolongum. Its description in RNAcentral is "bacterial SSU rRNA". It matches the Rfam family "Bacterial small subunit ribosomal RNA", at positions 59 to 736 of the family's 1533-position model. The record is from RNAcentral. Lineage: Bacteria; Bacillati; Actinomycetota; Actinomycetes; Bifidobacteriales; Bifidobacteriaceae.
CAGUCGAACGGGAUCCCUGGCAGCUUGCUGCCGGGGUGAGAGUGGCGAACGGGUGAGUAAUGCGUGACCGACCUGCCCCAUGCACCGGAAUAGCUCCUGGAAACGGGUGGUAAUGCCGGAUGUUCCACAUGAGCGCAUGCGAGUGUGGGAAAGGCUUUUUGCGGCAUGGGAUGGGGUCGCGUCCUAUCAGCUUGUUGGUGGGGUAACGGCCUACCAAGGCGUUGACGGGUAGCCGGCCUGAGAGGGCGACCGGCCACAUUGGGACUGAGAUACGGCCCAGACUCCUACGGGAGGCAGCAGUGGGGAAUAUUGCACAAUGGGCGCAAGCCUGAUGCAGCGACGCCGCGUGCGGGAUGGAGGCCUUCGGGUUGUAAACCGCUUUUGUUCAAGGGCAAGGCACGGUCUUUGGCCGUGUUGAGUGGAUUGUUCGAAUAAGCACCGGCUAACUACGUGCCAGCAGCCGCGGUAAUACGUAGGGUGCAAGCGUUAUCCGGAUUUAUUGGGCGUAAAGGGCUCGUAGGCGGUUCGUCGCGUCCGGUGUGAAAGUCCAUCGCUUAACGGUGGAUCCGCGCCGGGUACGGGCGGGCUUGAGUGCGGUAGGGGAGACUGGAAUUCCCGGUGUAACGGUGGAAUGUGUAGAUAUCGGGAAGAACACCAAUGGCGAAGGCAGGUCUCUGGGCCG